Molecule: ribosomal RNA, 484 nt
Filed under: uncultured bacterium
Lineage: Bacteria
Description: partial 16S ribosomal RNA
Rfam family: Bacterial small subunit ribosomal RNA
Source: RNAcentral
AUUGAACGCUGGCGGCAGGCCUAACACAUGCAAGUCGAGCGGAUGAAGGGAGCUUGCUCCUGGAUUCAGCGGCGGACGGGUGGGUAAUGCCUAGGAAUCUGCCUGGUAGUGGGGGAUAACGUCCGGAAACGGGCGCUAAUACCGCAUACGUCCUGAGGGAGAAAGUGGGGGAUCUUCGGACCUCACGCUAUCAGAUGAGCCUAGGUCGGAUUAGCUAGUUGGUGGGGUAAAGGCCUACCAAGGCGACGAUCCGUAACUGGUCUGAGAGGAUGAUCAGUCACACUGGAACUGAGACACGGUCCAGACUCCUACGGGAGGCAGCAGUGGGGAAUAUUGGACAAUGGGCGAAAGCCUGAUCCAGCCAUGCCGCGUGUGUGAAGAAGGUCUUCGGAAUGUAAAGCACUUUAAGUUGGGAGGAAGGGCAGUAAGUUAAUACCUUGCUGUUUUGACGUUACCAACAGAAUAAGCACCGGCUAACUUCGUG